CGUGUCGGUCAUUAAAAGACUUCCGCGAAGGAUGCACUGGUGUAUCCUUGCUCAUAGCUCCUUAGAGAUCACUUCUCGAUCCUCACUCCUCGGCGCGCAAAUAAGAGGUCUGGGACGGUCUGCAAGAUGGCAGAGCGGAACAACUUGCAGUUCAAGCGAGGAAACGACAAAUAAGAGACUGGAGAAGCACCCUAUGUGUGUUUGUGGGCGUGUGCGGUUGUGGCUCCUGGCUCAUCACCACCUGCAGCGUCUCGCACCUGUGGCUCAUCAAGCAAUCAACCCAUGCAGUCAAAUACUCAGUCAGCUUCCACUCUUCACCAGUUCGUCAGUUUACCUCCAGUGUUGUUCCUGUGUGCUGAGUCGCUGCCUGCCUACCUGUUCGCUUGCCUGCAGCCUGCCAGCCAAUCUGUCCGCCCAGAACAGAGCUCUAGGACGCCAUUGUUGGACCCCCACUCAGUCUAAAAUUCUCUGCAUCCAACCCAAUCCUCUGGUUUUUCUCGAGCACAUUGAUAAUAAAACCUGCCUGUGUUCUUAUCAUC
Molecule: long non-coding RNA, 539 nt
Organism: Micropterus salmoides (largemouth bass)
Lineage: Eukaryota; Metazoa; Chordata; Actinopteri; Centrarchiformes; Centrarchidae
Exons: 2
Source: RefSeq, a predicted model, not a curated record